GCCCUCAGUGCUUAGCCGGUAGAGACAGCACCUCGAUCGGCUUGCGCUUUAUAAUUACGAAUGAAACGAUGCCUUCUUGUACGAGGAACCAAACUCACUAUCCGAGACACGAAAACGACAUUUAGAUUUCUGAUUUGAAAACGAUAACGCAAAAGUGCAAAGUAUUAUAAAAAAUAUGAUGCGCAAAGAUGUUACAUGCUUUUAAAAAUGUAAAUUCAGCGAAUUACUCGCAAUAAGAACACAUCAGAUUGUGUAUCUAUUCGCUGUACGUGUGAGAAAAAUGACGCGUAAGGGCAUGUCGGUAAUAGAAUACAACACAGUACACUCACAGUUAAAGGACAUUGCUGUGCGCAUAAAUUGAAUUCAGCAUUACACUGUGUGAAUAACUAUUUCCGUACUCCGUGAGUGUGUCGCGACUGACUUCAUGUGAGGAACAGCAGCCAAUAACCGGACAUUGGUGCUUUAAAUUCCGCCCCGGGCCAUUUAAAGUGCACAGCCCCGCGCUGUAGCGAAGAAAAAGGAAAAGAGUUUAUGGACUCUAAAGAAUGAUAUUUCUGGCUGACGCUUCAGUGAUAAGGUGGCACUGCCGGUCUGGAGAGAGAGAAAGGAGGCCGACCUACUAGACCAAAGGUGGAAGGCCUGACACUGUCCUCAACAUAGUCCACAUCACAACGUCUUGGUGACAUUGGAGACAAGAAACAAGAAAAAACUAAUUGUGUCUAUUGUGUCCACUUACAUUUAACAUUUGUGUGCGAGUUCUUGUUGGAGGGCAGAGAAAACACCAAAAGACUGAAAAUUUAAUGGUAUUUGUUGAAAAAAAAUUCCUGCUCUUUGCAAGAAUCGGAUAUCUCUGCUUGUGUGACUGUACAUAAUAAAGGUCACUGUGAUGAAACAACA
Triplophysa dalaica is the source of this 897-nucleotide long non-coding RNA. RefSeq lists it as uncharacterized. The record is from RefSeq and is a predicted model, not a curated record. The transcript is spliced from 2 exons. NCBI's taxonomy places the organism in Eukaryota, Metazoa, Chordata, Actinopteri, Cypriniformes, Nemacheilidae.